UUUUUUUGUUUUGUUUUGUUGUGUUGUGUUUGAUUGAGUGACAUGAUUAAAUAACAGUGGAAAGAGCACAGUUUUAUUUACUUUAUGGUUUUUCCUUUUGCAUUUGGGAUAUUGGUGCAAAAUUGAUAUAUCUGUCUCAAUUCAUUUUUAAUUUUAUAAUUUAGGUUGAUGAUUCUCACUUUACUCUUUGAAACAACGCCGUUUUCCCCUUUUGCACUAGAAAUUAAGCUGAUUGGCAUGAUUUUGGGAAUUUAGCAUUCAAAUUUAAUGAGAAUAAUAAAAAAGCAACAAGUUUGUUUUCUUGUAUUUUUAAUCUUUAAUCUGAUACUUGCAAUUGGAACAUGUGCUUCAUUUGUUGCUCUUGCCAGGCAGACUUUUCAGAAUUCAUUCGGUUCUAUGAUUUUGUUUUCUUCAUGUGUCGCGAGAAUGGUCAAAAGAAUAUUUCUGUAAGCAGGGCAGUAACUGCUUGGAAAUUAGUUCUUGCUGGGAAUGAACAAGGGAAUGAACACUGAUACAAUUGUUAAGGCCAAGAGUUUUCUUGAUGGUGAUGAAGAUCAGCAUGAAAAAGAUGUGUUUGAGAAGAAUU
This is a non-coding RNA of Arachis ipaensis, 586 nucleotides long. NCBI's taxonomy places the organism in Eukaryota, Viridiplantae, Streptophyta, Magnoliopsida, Fabales, Fabaceae. The record is from RefSeq and is a predicted model, not a curated record.